CGGUAAUACGGGGGAUGCAAGCGUUAUCCGGAUUUAUUGGGUUUAAAGGGUGCGUAGAUGGCACAAAAAGUCUUGUGUAAAAAUGCUAGGCUCAACCUAGUAGAGCAAAAGAUACUUUUGAGAUAGAGUAUGGCAGAGGCAAGUGGAACUACAUGUGUAGCGGUAAAAUGCGUAAAUAUAUGUAAGAACACCAGUGGCGAAGGCGGCUUGCUGGGCCGAUACUGACAUUGAGGCACGAAAGCGUGGGGAGCAAACAG
This 257-nucleotide ribosomal RNA is filed under the name uncultured bacterium. Its description in RNAcentral is "partial 16S ribosomal RNA". It matches the Rfam family "Bacterial small subunit ribosomal RNA", at positions 518 to 775 of the family's 1533-position model. The record is from RNAcentral.